RNAcentral lists this long non-coding RNA (252 nucleotides) under Actinidia chinensis (golden kiwifruit). RNAcentral describes it as "long non-coding RNA (ACHI_LNC005479)". Lineage: Eukaryota; Viridiplantae; Streptophyta; Magnoliopsida; Ericales; Actinidiaceae. The record is from RNAcentral.
AUUUCUCAUGCAUUCUCUCUCUCUCCUCUCCUGUUUAUGAACUGUGUUUUUGUGUAUUCGUAAUUCGGGUUAGAUUCAUUAAAGUGCAGAGAGUAAAGGAGGUUAAGCCCUAAUUCUUCGAAAUCGUGUGUGUUAUUUCGAGGUUGAAUGUGAUUUUUGAUUUUACGAGUUUCGGAGCGUUUUGCAGAUAGAUCAAUGGCGGGGAACCAACGAGAAGAUUCGGUGUCGGGUACGCGCUCGCGCGGAAGAAAC